AAAAGUUAACUCUGUAUGGAGAUGGAAUGUUUGCAUACGUUUGCCGCUAGGGGCGCUGUUCCAACUGCAUACAAAUUUGAGUUA
Molecule: microRNA precursor, 84 nt
Filed under: Bombyx mori (domestic silkworm)
Lineage: Eukaryota; Metazoa; Arthropoda; Insecta; Lepidoptera; Bombycidae
Description: mir-2807 microRNA precursor family
Rfam family: mir-2807 microRNA precursor family
Source: Rfam by way of RNAcentral